GAUGAACGCUGGCGGCGUGCCUAAUACAUGCAAGUCGAGCGAACAGAUGAGGAGCUUGCUCCUCUGACGUUAGCGGCGGACGGGUGAGUAACACGUGGAUAACCUACCUAUAAGACUGGUAUAACUUCGGGAAACCGGAGCUAAUACCGGAUAAUAUAUUGAACCGCAUGGUUCCUUAGUGAAAGACGGUUUUGCUGUCUCUUAUAGAUGGAUCCGCGCCGCAUUAGCUAGUUGGUAAGGUAACGGCUUACCAAGGCAACGAUGCGUAGCCGACCUGAGAGGGUGUUCGGCAACACUGGAACUGAGACACGGUCGAGACUCCUACGGGAGGCAGCAGUAGGGAAACGUCCGCAAUGGGCAAAAGCUUGACGGAGCAACGCCGCGAGAAUGAUGAAGGUCUUAAGAUCGUAAAACUCUGUUAUUAGGGAAGAACAAAUGUGUAAGUAACUAUGCACGACUUGACGGUACCUAAUCAGAAAGCCACGGCUAACUACGUG
This 497-nucleotide ribosomal RNA is filed under the name uncultured bacterium. RNAcentral's name for it is "partial 16S ribosomal RNA". It matches the Rfam family "Bacterial small subunit ribosomal RNA", at positions 28 to 507 of the family's 1533-position model. The record is from RNAcentral.